AUACGUAGGGGGCGAGCGUUGUCCGGAAUGAUUGGGCGUAAAGGGCGCGUAGGCGGCCCGGUAAGUCUGGGGUGAAAGUCCUGUUUUUAAGAUGGGAAUUGCUUUGGAUACUGUCGGGCUUGAGUGCAGGAGAGGUAAGUGGAAUUCCUAGUGUAGCGGUGAAAUGCGUAGAGAUUGGGAGGAACACCAGUGGCGAAGGCGACUUACUGGACUGUAACUGACGCUGAGGCGCGAAAGUGUGGGGAGCAAACAGGAUUAGAUACCCUGGUAGUCCACACUGUAAACGAUGAAUGCUAGGUGUAGGGGGUAUCGACCCCUUCUGUGCCGCAGUCAACACAAUAAGCAUUCCGCCUGGGGAGUACGGCCGCAAGGUUGAAACUCAAAGGAAUUGACGGGG
RNAcentral lists this ribosomal RNA (397 nucleotides) under uncultured bacterium. RNAcentral describes it as "partial 16S ribosomal RNA". It matches the Rfam family "Bacterial small subunit ribosomal RNA", at positions 523 to 918 of the family's 1533-position model. The record is from RNAcentral.